This 451-nucleotide ribosomal RNA is filed under the name uncultured bacterium. Its description in RNAcentral is "bacterial SSU rRNA". It matches the Rfam family "Bacterial small subunit ribosomal RNA", at positions 328 to 793 of the family's 1533-position model. The record is from RNAcentral.
GCGCCAGACUCCUACGGGAGGCAGCAGUGGGGAAUAUUGGGCAAUGGAGGAAACUCUGACCCAGCAACGCCGCGUGAAUGAUGAAGGUCUUCGGAUUGUAAAUUUCUUUUCUAAGGGAAGAAGAAAGUGACGGUACCUUAGGAAUAAGCCUCGGCUAACUACGUGCCAGCAGCCGCGGUAAUACGUAGGAGGCAAGCGUUAUCCGGAAUGACUGGGCGUAAAGGGAGCGUAGACGGUGAAGUAAGUCUGGAGUGAAAGGCGGGGGCCCAACCCCCGGACUGCUCUGGAAACUAUUUGACUGGAGUGCAGGAGAGGUAAGCGGAAUUCCUAGUGUAGCGGUGAAAUGCGUAGAUAUUAGGAGGAACACCAGUGGCGAAGGCGGCUUACUGGACUGUAACUGACGUUGAGGCUCGAAAGCGUGGGGAGCAAACAGGAUUAGAUACCCGCGUAA